This is a long non-coding RNA of Numida meleagris (helmeted guineafowl), 2476 nucleotides long. RefSeq lists it as uncharacterized. The transcript has 3 exons. NCBI's taxonomy places the organism in Eukaryota, Metazoa, Chordata, Aves, Galliformes, Numididae. The record is from RefSeq and is a predicted model, not a curated record.
CUUGCACAUCAGAGCCCCAGAAGAGAAGAACCUCACAGCCCACCCAGAGAUGAGAUGAGAUAUGCACAGAGCAGAGGGGACCCGGUCUUCCCCGCCUUCACCUUGUGCCCCGUUCCCCAGCCACACCACAAAGGCAAUGUUACAGAAACAGACUUGUUCUCCUCCACGAGGCCCACAGAAACAGUGCACAGCCUGAGGGACUUUCUGGGAGCACCACAGAGGGAUGCAGCACAGCCCUGGGGGAGAAGAUGGCAGAGAGACCAGGACAGAAACCAAACUUGUGCCGAACACAAUGCUUAGUGCAUAAAAAUUAAUCAAGUUCUACGAUGACUUGCUUUAUUCAUAAUACUUAAUGGUCAUGUAAUAGGAGUUUUUAUUCUGCAGUUAAAGUUCAUAAGUGCAGGUUUUACAUGUAGAAAGGUAUUAUGCUGAUAGUUUAAUUACACACCUUUCUGCACACCAAAGGAAAUGGGUUAUGCGGGUUCUGUAAUUAAAGAAAGACUUCAGAGGGGAAAUGAACUUUGCAGUUAGCAGCGUAGUAUUUGAUUUUUAUCAGGUGUUUUUGUUUUGAGUUUGCCAGCGCUCACUGUGUGGUAAACAGGUGAGAACACCCUGAACAGCACGAGGUGCCAGGGAGAAGCUGCAAGCGUGCAGCAGAGCAGCAGUAUUUAAUAGAAUGGGUGAGCACGAGGCACCAGCUCCACGGGUUGCAAGGCGCUCCAGAGCUCUGUCUGUGCAAUUCUAUACAGUACAAGUCUGUCCAGCUUGUCUAGGAAUCAGGAAAAAAAAACGGAGCACUUAAUUAAAACUAAACCCUACUACUCGCCAGGGUAAUAAAAAGCUCUACUUUUUAUUUUUCUUAUUUUUGUUUGCAAUAGAUGUCAUGGGCAGUGAACACAGUUUUCCCUUCCUGCAUGCCUACAAAGGUAACAAAGCCAAAAAUGUGAUGGAGAAGCAUGCGUGUUUGCUAUUUGAGUACAUAGGGGCCACUCACAGCAUUCGAGCAGCUACUUCUCCCACAAAGGGCGACCACAUGUGAAGAGCGAGAUUCCCAGUAAGUAUCUGGUAAACAUUUGGAAAUGAGAGACAAAUAGCGCUGUGCAAUUGCACCAUCGUACUUCAAAUACCCACUUGAAAAAAAAAGAAGGAUCCAUUCCGCAACACGCCAAGCCUGGCUCCCGAAACCGGGAGGAAUCGCAACGCCGGCAGAGAAUCUCCCUGUUGAAUAAGAUUGGAAGAAAGGCUGUUUUGGAUUAAACACCCCAAACAACGCUGCUGACUGCUCCUAGCUCACGUGCUUCGCAGCUGCCUGAUGGAGCUGAUAAAUGGGGCAGAAGACCUCUACCAGGCCUCAACUCUGGAAGAUGGGGACAAAGAGUUAAAGGGUGAGCAAGGACACGUGAAUGGCCCGAAGGGGACGUCACCGGUCAACGAUGAGGAUGUUGGCCAUGAGGCAGCUGGCAGUUGUCACCACCACCAUGGUGGCAGUAGGGUAAAGGGCAUUGCUCACUGGCUCUACAAGGAAUUUGAGCAAUGACCCAAUUAACUCACCAUUAAACCAAUGUUUAACAUCAUCACUGAAGCUGCAGCCUGAUUACUAGGUUAAAAGGGCUAAUUAGAGCUUCUUGUGAUGCAGGGCGCGCCUUUGCGGAGUGAACAGCACCAACAGUUGGUCGUUCCUUCCAUUAGGCCACUCCUGUGAAACCUGCUGUCCUCUGUGAUCACAGCCCAGGUCAGACGGCAUUACACAGCUCAUUGGCAGCUGUGUGCACAAAGCACAGCGAGCAUCACGCUGUGCUGGGCCUCCAGGUCCUGUGCUAGGCCACAGCUGUCUUCUGCUCUGCUCACUGGCACAGAAGAAGCCCAGAGAAGCUGUGCACUGCCCUUCAGUUUUCCUAGGAAGUGGCUCAGAGAUGCAUCACCUCAACACGGACCGUGAAAGUGCUUUUCAGCUUUGGGGGACAACAGCAUUUGGGACUGGGAAAGGUAAAGCCACAGAAAGUCAGCAGAUGACAGAUGUUGGGCUCAACGUGCAGUGGACACACCAAUGCAGAGAUGACCAGGGACGUGAAGAAGAGGAGUCAUCUAGGAUACCUUCAGAGCUCACAAGCCGUCUGAAUCCCUUCCUGGUCUGUGCAAAGCCAGGGUGACCCCUAUGGGGACAAGCUGCCCUCAUCCAAGGGGCUGAGAGCCCCCCACACUUCAUUCCGGGCCAUGUUCCUCUACCUGGAGCUGACCCCACCACCCGUGCUUAAGAGACACAGAGCGCUCCUGCCAAAAUAAACACUCUUCUGCCAGUGACGUAGGAACAUUUUGUUAACUACAGAAGUGAGACCUCUCCCAUGUACUAAAACUUCACUAAUGAUAGAAGAGCAAUACGUGACCGAACUCAAAUUCUAUCCUCUGCAUUUUUUUGUUAGCAAAAUCCACCCUUCAAUACCAUUUUGAGACACGCUGUAAUGAGUGUGCAAGAUUU